AUGUCCCAGUCUGGAAAAGUCCUUCAUCUUUAUGUGGAAGUGAGUUCUGCCCCAGGUCAGAAUGGAAAGUGUGAUGAGGGACUGGCUCAGGGGAUUUCAGGUCAGGACAGUCCUGUGGAGCUCCUCUCUCAGCUGAGUCAAGCCACCAUUGGGGACACCUCCCCGGUCCACUGCCUGGAUCAGGACCACACGCACAGACAGUCUCUAUCUCAAAAUGUGGUUAACCGUCAGCUCCAACAUGCUCCAACCUCACCUACAGUCACCAAGAGUUGGAGUUCCUCCAUCCACCCCUCCCCCUCUUCUAGAGGUGCUGAUGUCUCUCGCACUCCUCCUGAUGGGAAACGGUCUGUGGUCAGCUUCCGUUACGUUGAGAAGUCUAAUGUGAAGACAGUGGACAGUCCAUGUAAGUCUGUGUGUGAGAGACAAGUCAGAGACGAGCAAUCGACCCACUCCCUUCAUCAUCUUAGUGAUUCCAUGUGGUUUGGAUGUCCCGAUUCAAUGUGCAGCUCCAGCCCCAAAGCGCCUUUCCAGUCUCCAGAGAGUCACCAGCAGACGUUCUCCCUCGGCCUUCGACAGCCACACUUGGAUCCGAUCGGCAGGGCAGCUACCCAGAGGGCUGUGGAGGAGUUUGGCUCCCCGUUACUGAGGAUCAAACUGGCCCACGCACUCGAGCACACCUCCUCCUCUCGUUUUAACCAUCAGCCACGCUGUCAGUCCUGGGCCGGGUCUCCUGUUCAGCGUCAGAACUUCAGCAUAAACCUCAAAGACGCCACAGAUAUCAGACAGGACUUUCACAGGCUACUUCAAAGCCCAGCAUCAGAUCAGCUUUCUUCCCAGUCCAGGAUUUGCUGUCAGUCGAACCCUGGACUACCUGCUAAACCUCGGAGCUCUCUUCACUGUCCAGGAGAAGACAGAACCAUAGCAGAGAGUCCUGCCACCCAAAGGCCCACUGACAGGAACUCGUCACUGCAGGGAGAAAUCCUCCAACAUGGCAAUAACGGAGACGAGGGUUUAAACCAGUUAAGUGACUGUGAGUUUUCUUCUGCAGUUCCUAGCCGUGAAGCUGCUCUCAGACCAGCAGACAGGACUUCCAAAGGGUCUUCCCUGUUCACAGAGGUGAGGAGGUCCUUGUUGCACAACUCUUCAGGUGAGCGCCUGAGUAGUUCAAACACUGGAGAUUCAACUCCAAACGCACAACACUUUAAAGAAACACUGAAGAUGAGCAUCCCUUUAAAGGACCAAAAGACUCCAGCAGCUGCUGAGAUAGACCCUCACCAGCCGGAAGCCCCUCAUGGUCAUCAUGGCACACACCAGGAGCUCUGCUUUCAGAAACACAGCUGCUUUGUUUUGGAUCAGAGUGCCCCCACCCUUACCUCACAAGUCCACCGUCCAUCUCAUCCUCCCACUGAGAUCAGUUCUCCCAUCAGAGAUCCGAGGCUGUUCCAGACUGAGUUUCGAACACCAGACACUCCCACUCUGCAUCGCCAUCAGCCUCCGCAGUACACCGGAGACUCCUGGUCCCCAUGCCACCACGACAGGAGAGGAGACCUGAGCUGCUUCGACAGGGAGGACUGCACAGAGCUAGCACGUAGGCUCUUCAUCAAUGAAAGCGUAGAGGCUCCAGUCAGCUGGACUUCCAGGCAGCAGUGGAGGACCCAUGUGGAGAACAUCCCAGAACCUGGGUUUGAGGCCAUCACUCAACAAACUCAAGAAUUCAGUAAACAGCACCAGCCACUCAGCCCCACGGCCCAACAGAAACGGGCCGAGCAGCGGAGGAGAGAGAUUCUUCUGCUCGGACCAGUGGCUCUGGACUCUGAAGAGGAGGAGGAGGAAGCGCGUGAAGUGGAGGGAUGUGAUACAAGGCAGGUGGAGCAGAAUGGAUCAAUACCCGGGUCAUCAUCACGAAGCUCUAGUGGGGUGACCGGGAGUUUGGGGGACCAAGACUGUAUAUCUCCAGGGACCAGUCAGUCCAGCCACCAAAGCAACGAGACCGGACCUGCAACCUCAGGAAUACAGUUUCUAGAGUUGGGGCACACCUGA
This 2040-nucleotide long non-coding RNA is filed under the name Nothobranchius furzeri (turquoise killifish). RNAcentral's name for it is "lncRNA (ENSNFUG00015024230.1)". The record is from RNAcentral. Lineage: Eukaryota; Metazoa; Chordata; Actinopteri; Cyprinodontiformes; Nothobranchiidae.